This 206-nucleotide long non-coding RNA is filed under the name Mytilus galloprovincialis (Mediterranean mussel). Lineage: Eukaryota; Metazoa; Mollusca; Bivalvia; Mytilida; Mytilidae. The record is from RNAcentral.
CGCCAUGGCUAAAAAUAAAAAAGACAAACAGACAAACAAUAGUACACAUGACACAACAUAGAAAACUAAAGAAUAAACAACACGAACCCCACCAAAAACUAGGGGUGAUCUCAGGUGCCCCGGAAGGGUAAGCAGAUCCUGCUCCACAUGUGGCACCCGUCGUGUUGCUUAUGUGAUAACAAAUCCGGUAAAUAGUCUAAUUCGGU